UACGGGGGGGGCAAGCGUUGUUCGGAGUUACUGGGCGUAAAGGGCUCGUAGGUGGCCAACUAAGUCAGACGUGAAAUCCCUCGGCUUAACCGGGGAACUGCGUCUGAUACUGGAUGGCUGGAGUAUGGGAGAGGGAUGCGGAAUUCCAGGUGUAGCGGUGAAAUGCGUAGAUAUCUGGAGGAACACCGGUGGCGAAGGCGGCAUCCUGGACCAUUACUGACGCUGAGGAGCGAAAGCCAGGGGAGCAAACGGG
This 253-nucleotide ribosomal RNA is filed under the name uncultured bacterium. RNAcentral describes it as "partial 16S ribosomal RNA". It matches the Rfam family "Bacterial small subunit ribosomal RNA", at positions 524 to 776 of the family's 1533-position model. The record is from RNAcentral.